UCAGAUAUCCUGCCACUCACAUCCAGC
This 27-nucleotide non-coding RNA is filed under the name Rattus norvegicus (Norway rat). Lineage: Eukaryota; Metazoa; Chordata; Mammalia; Rodentia; Muridae. The record is from RNAcentral.